CCUAGAAUAGAACAGAGAGCAGAACAAUGGCUCAUUUCUCUAUGCAGGCACAUCUUUUUCUAGUCAGAGCUCAUUAACCCCUGUGUCCCAGCUGCCUUCCAGGCCAGAGAUGUCAUGGCUGUGAGCUGCAGAGAAACUCCCUGAGGGCUGGGACAGUAGUUCUUGGGGUCAGCACUGUUCUGGUCCUGAGGUAGCUGCAUUGUCAGAGGCGAUCGCUGAGCUCACAUUCUGUACGGUGGCUUUAGGAACAAAGUUGUGCAAGUACUUCCCAUAGGAUCAUCCCACAGUGUUUUGCAACUCCCAAUUUGUACAAUAGAAGCAAGAAGCAAUUAAAGCCGUUCAUGUUUUUGGUGUGAGUAGAUCUAUCCGACUUCACAAAUCCAUUCUAAAAAUUGGACUCCUUUUAAAAUUAAUAUUGAUAAUUAGCAGGGCGUGACUAAGCUUGAGUGGGUGCUUUCAUGGGGACUUGAGAAAUACUGUCUUUAGCACCAAAUGAGAGACCCAUGCAACCCACUGCUGGAAGGGAGCUGCCUUUCCAGAGGGCACGGAAUGCAGGGCACUGGGGCGAGGGAUAGUGCAGUGACCAGUCCCUACCACAACAGGAAGUCCUGCUUUGAAUUCCAUAAAGAGCACCCUGGACGCCUCGAGGCUGAUUUAUCGGAUGUGUUUCCACUGAAGAACUUUCCAUGUGACUUUCUAAAACUUAGAAACAGGAAAAUGCUGACAGAGGCCACUGGGCUCAGCCUGGAGCAGACCAAAGACUGGGGUUCUGAGGUUGUCCCCACACAGAUCUGCCAACUGCCUGCAAGGAGGCAGAGCUGAAGCAGCGAGGAGAGGGCGUUUUACUGACUUCAAGUGAAUGGGGAAUGACUUCAGGGGCUCUCAGUACCCCUGAAAAACCUUUUUCUUGAGUGGCCAUUGGUGAGCUGUUCUCAAAAACUGUCCUAGUGAAUUGGGAAGCUUUGGAAAAGGUUGUGUCUUUCUCUAAGAGCUCUGUGCUGUUCAUUUGUUCUUCUUUCCUAGGCAGAAACCAGCGUGGUUCCUGUGAAGAGAAACCAUCAGCGAUGAUGCUAGAGGAUAGGUCUAGCACGAGGGUCCUUGACUCGAUGGGUGGCUCUCCACUUCUGUAGCUGAUGGGUGAGGACAACAGCUUGGUAAAAGGAGCUCCCAAGCACUGUCAGGAUGAGUUACAGCUCACCUUCUGUACAUGGACUGUACCACACCACCACCACCACGGCCAAGCCAGGCCCACGGACAACCCUGGAUGUGACUGCACCAGAAACAGCUACUAUAAGCCCUGAGACUACCAGUUUCAACAGCACCAAAAUCCUGGAUGUGUCCAGCUCUGGGCCCGGCGUGAGCACGAUGCUGCUGUCCUUUGGGAUCAUUACUGUGAUCGGGUUGGCUGUAGCUAUGGUUCUGUAUAUCAGGAAGAGGAAGAGGUUGGAGAAACUCCGGCACCAGCUCAUGCCCAUGUACAGCUUCGAUCCCACAGAGGAACAGGAUGAACUAGAGCAGGAGCUGCUGGAACACGGGCGAGAUGCAGCAUCUUCCCAGGCAUCGCAGAGCAAGGUAGGCAGCAGGGGCCAGUCAGUCUGUUAGCACCACCACUGGUACCGGCACCGCUUUUGUCAUGGAGUCAAGGAGUUGUUGUAGGGUGAGGAAACAACGUAAGACCUCAGGAGGACUUCCCCCGUCUCUGCCAGCCCUGAAGAUAGGGAGUUUGAGCAUUUUGGAAUGCUUAGAAUGGACUGAAGAGUCAGGCAACUAGGGUGAAGAUUCUGGGGACGCAAAGUGCUGACUCUACUCAACUAGGAGAGAGAAAAGGGCGACUUCACCAAGGAAGGGUGAGUUUGCCACAGUUUACCACCCAGGGCACAAGGGAGCCGUAGGAUGAAUGCCAUUGUUCUGGGAGAGGAGGCUUCAAUGCUCACAGAGCACCGAGGCUCCUUUGCCCUGAAUAGCAAAUAACUUCUGCAUAGUUUUAAGGUAUUCCUGCUUUGCCUAAGGAUGUAAGCGUGGGAAAAGGCCUUGCUGAGGGCGAGGCUGCAAGCUAACAGUUAACUGUGCUGCAAGCACCCAGGCAGAAAGCCUGCACGGUGUUGUGGCACAGUGCAUCUGGUCUUGUCAGCACCUCCAGGCCAGUCCUGCAGGGCUCUGAAAGAGAAAAGGGAGGACAGUUCUCUAUUUGAAUUUGGGGUGAGGGGGAGAAGGCUUGGUUUUGACCACUACCGAGUGUUUAAAGGCAUGUGGUGUGCUGAGAAAUGAUAGGGUUCUCAGAGACCUCCAACUUAGGAGUUAGGAAAUAGAGGGAUAGCUUGGCCAGUUGGUUUUGGUUAAUGGUCCAGGUGGGUCCUUGAGGCUGUCUCUUUCCCUAGUGGACUGAGAAGUAGAAAUAGGGAAGAAGGGCUUCUCACCAACAUUUGCAGCCAGCUUCACAGUGUUUUCUUUUUCCUUUGUCACCACCACCACACAAAAAGCCUUUCUGAAAGACAGAGACGGCAGGGAUGGCUGGAACAGAUUCUGCUGACAAGUCAAGGAGCCCUCCAGAGACCCAGCCGUCUUGUGUUCACAGACGUUGCCAAUGCCAUCAAUGCAUGAACAGCACCUGCCCCUGCUCUGGGAUCGG
RNA transcript from Cuculus canorus (common cuckoo), 2629 nucleotides. It is a transcript of the gene named chromosome 11 C3orf18 homolog, with no coding region annotated. The transcript is spliced from 4 exons. Lineage: Eukaryota; Metazoa; Chordata; Aves; Cuculiformes; Cuculidae. The record is from RefSeq and is a predicted model, not a curated record.